RNAcentral lists this ribosomal RNA (465 nucleotides) under uncultured bacterium. Its description in RNAcentral is "bacterial SSU rRNA". It matches the Rfam family "Bacterial small subunit ribosomal RNA", at positions 355 to 825 of the family's 1533-position model. The record is from RNAcentral.
UCGAGAAUCUUCGGCAAUGGGCGAAAGCCUGACCGAGCGAUGCCGCGUGCAGGAUGAAGGCCUUCGGGUUGUAAACCGCUGUCGUAGGGGAGAAAGGGUCGUUGAAGAAACGACUUUGAUCUAUCCUAGGAGGAAGUCCGGGCUAAGUUCGUGCCAGCAGCCGCGGUAACACGAACCGGACAAACGUUAUUCGGAAUUACUGGGCUUAAAGGGUGCGUAGGCGGUGCGGUAAGUGCGGUGUGAAAUCCCACGGCUCAACCGUGGAAUUGCGCUGCAUACUGCCGUGCUAGAGGGAGACAGGGGUAAGCGGAACUGAUGGUGGAGCGGUGAAAUGCGUUGAUAUCAUCAGGAACACCGGUGGCGAAAGCGGCUUACUGGGUCUCUUCUGACGCUGAGGCACGAAAGCUAGGGUAGCGAACGGGAUUAGAUACCCACGUAGUCCCUGAGCGGGCUGGCAAGGCGCAU